AGAACAUGUGACCAAGGGUAAAAGAAGUCAAAAUGACAUUACUUGGAAAGUAUCCCACACCCUACUUGAUUUUUUUUUUUUUUUAAAGGACAGUUCUUUCUUUUUACACAUUCCAGUAUUUUCAGAACAGAAGUGACAGCAAUGUCAACUCUUUGGACAUCUGCUCCAAGUCUCAUUCUGGCAAGGGCAGAGCUAUCAAAGACUUUGUCUGUCUGCCUGACAAUUUCAUCUCUCAGAAGGUAGAGGAAUCCGUGAGGAAAAUGGCUGCUCUCAAGUGAAUUCUGAUCAGUAAAAAAGGAACUGGUUGGAAAUGUGGAAAUACUGAGAAUCUCAGGAGAGAUGUUUUCAUUAUCUUCGCCCCCUCACAGAACUCCCAAAGCUCUUUAUUUAGAUCUUUUCUUACUUCUCCUUACAAUAUUGUCACUUAUAGACUUGUGUCUCUAAGAUUGUCCCUUGAGGACUGGGACCACAUCACAUCAUCUUUGUGUCUGCCAAUGCUUGGGGUAGUUAUCUUUUAAACACAAAAAAAUCAAUCAAAUGUGCUUAGUUGGAAUAUGAGCAUAGUGACUUGCAUAAUUUCAGGAUAAUGUGACAACAUUCUUUAAGAAUUUUUUUUCUUGAUCAUAAAAUGUUUUCAUUGUUGAAAACUGGAAAAAUUAUUCAGGAAGUGUAAAUGAGAAAAUACAAACUUUCUAUAAUCCUCCCACUUGAUAAGCACUUUGAAGUACUUUCUCCUUGUUAUUUAUUUUUAAGACAGUGUAUCUCUCUGUCACCCAGGCUACAGUGUAGUGGCGUGAACAUAACAGCCACUGCAACCUCAAACUCCUGGGCUCAAGCAAUCCUGUCUGAGCCUCCCAAGUGGCUAGGACUACAAGUGUGUGCCACCAUGCCAGGCUAAUUUUUAAAAUUUUCUUGUAGAGAUGACUCUUGCUAUAUUGCCCAGGCUGGUCUCAAACUCGUGGCCUCAAUCAAUCCCCUGGCCUUGGUUCCCAGUGUUGAGAUUACAGGCAUAAGCCACUGUGCCCAGCCUCUCCUUGGGUUUUAUACUUAUUUCAUAGUUUUGAUCAUACUGUAUCUACAGUUCUGUUCCUAACACUUUUUAUUCACGUUAUAUCCUAAGCAUUUUCCAUGUCAUUAAAAUGUCCUCAUUUUAAAAUGACCUCAUAUUAUCUUGCAUGUCUUUAGCAUAACUACUGUCAUUUAAAAAAUAAAGCAACAUAGGGAUUUUCACUGGCUACAAGUUCUAAGAAUUGUGGUAUGUCUGAGAAGUCAAAAAGGAACCGGCAGGGCAGGGGAGACAGGUGAAGUCCCAAGUUCUUUCUCCGGUUUUGGGUUUUAUCCUGAGUCAACUGUGGUACAUCUGGAAGGUGAGUUGAUGAUGUGGAGUGACCAGGGCUGACGAGGAAGAGUUAAAGCUGGAAGGAAUGCUCAACCCAGAGAAGAGCAGAGCCAUGGAGUCACGUUUCCACACUUGAAGUAUGACUGACUGACUCUGUGGCAUCCCGGUUGGCAGCACUAAGGCCGGUAAGUGGGAAUUUCAAAGCCACAAUUUGGACUCCUCUGCAAACAAGUUUGAGAGCUGUUCCCUAAAGAUACCUGAUGCCCUGUGAGGCAGGCAGUGCCUGGUCCCUGGAGGUGUUCAAAUAGGGCAGAUGGCUUCAAGGAUACUAGAGGAUAGGAAAUCCCUGCAGUCUGGUUUAUGUUCUGGGUCCUGUGUGAGCACUGGAAUAGCCUACAUCAAAUCUUAAGUCUCUCAGAGUCGCAUAAAAAAACCGAAUUAUUUAAUUCAAAGCCACGUUUUCAAUUCUGAGCAGCCCAGAGACCUGCCAUCGCUUUCUCGCGCCGAGUCACGUGGUCUGGCAAGGCGCGCGGUUUCCUCCCUAGCCGCCCCCAGCUUCCCUGAACCUUCAAAGUCACAUUUCAGUCACUCCCCAGUCUGACCAACAACGCUCACAAUGAGGGCGCUGCCAGCACAGGCGACGGCCUGCGCUCCAGUCUUACGAGAAACCCCAAAUUCAAGACCCCUGUGACCCAGCCUGUGUGCCCCGAGAGGCUAAACCUCCGCCCAGGGGCUUCCGGAUGUUGGCUGCCGCGGGUCUGGGUUUUCGGCCUGCAGAGCUCGCGUCUGACGGCUGAGGAACAAAACGCCCUCCCUCUAGCGGCUCAAGCGCACACACCCUCUUGCCCUCCGCAGCCCCCGAGCGAGUCACGGGAGACACUCUGGAGCCAUUUUGCGGGGCUGGAAUUCCUUCGCCCGGCGGAGCUCGGCGCGCACCCCUCAGCUGUGCCGAGGACCCUGCGCCCGGGGCGCCCCGCGGCCACGUGACCGCCAUCUGGCUCUCGGCCUGGACUGAGGGGGCUGAGCUCAUCGCGUUGCUAUUCGAGGGGCAGAGACAGCCUGGCCUUCCUCAAACCCUGAGCUCCCGGCUCUCCUCCCUCCCCCACCUACUUGACAUCUCAGGCUUUUUGUGGAAGGGGCAGGGCGAUUGAGAGGUCGGUGACCUUUGUCCCAAUGGCGCUGGCUUUUUUCCUUUUUGGCUACCCUAAUGGAAUGAGGAUAUAAUCAGUCAUAUCUUAACAUUCAUUGAGCCCCGGCUCAGGCUGGGAGGCACUGCCUUUCUCCUAGUGAAUUUUAAAUCAGUAUUUGUGGGAUUUAAGCUCCAGCGGAUAAACCUAGAGCCACUGGCCAUGAAGGGUGUGGCAGUGGGAUGAAAAACGGGACUUCCGCCUCCACUCCCUGGCUUUCCUCAUCCCAGCCACUAUAGAGGGGAAAAUACGUUGACCACAGAGCAACGGCCACACCCUCUUUCCUCUCCUCCAACCCCAGAAUUCCACUUCAGUCUCAGAGCUUUCAGCUAGGUGGGGUUUAUCCCCAAACGUGCCACAACCCCUCUAGUUAUAUGGGAGCGGUAACUGUGAACCACCAUCGCUGGCUUGAUCCUCCCUUUUCCGUGGAUUGGUGCUCCUGAGUAUGUUUACCGGUUUCAGUACAUAACACAGCCAGAUAGAGGGCCGCGGACUUCAGCGGCGAGAAGCUACAACAAAAAUAGGGUGAACAAAAACGAAGGUGCCCAGGAGCCUGAAUUGCAUUUCUUUCUUACCUUUGGUCAUAGAAAGGAGCACUUAGGUGUUUGGCUGGAACGCAAAGUGAGACCAGAGCUUACAUUCUUAGCAGCCUGGGUUUGUCUCGAGAGGCCAUGCUUCUCUCCUCCCUGACAUUUUGCUCUCAGAAGCACCAGUUAGCAUCAGAGGAAUGUUGUUUCCCUCUCUGAAACAGCCAUCAAGUACCAGCGAUUUCUUGGCUCCGGCAAGUUAAGUGCUCUGACCCCUCCCUUAUCUAACUCACCCCGCACACCAUCCACAUGGCAGGGGACGCAGCCAGAAAUGGAGCGGACUGCAUCUUUUCCUUGCCCACUCCUUUUUAUCACCAUGACAGAGCCACUGGACACCAGGAAAUAAAUACUGAACCACCACACUAAAACGUUUACUCCACUUUGGGCAGAAGGAGCCUAUUUUGCAUAUUAAGUGCCUCCUAUAAAGCAGUCAAGUGAGGGAAAGAGGAGUUCUCGCUCCUCCGUGAAUGCUGCACGGGAGCCUCCAGUCGGGAACAGCUGAACAGGUCAUCUCAGCAAUUUCUCAUUCAGAACCUGUUAUCCCUGGAUUGCUAUUUCAUAUACAUGGUCUUACAUUGCAGUAUCCACUUUAAAAGGUAUCCGAAGACAAAUUGCUGUCUGAACAUAAGGCCAAGAAUACAGUUCUUUUUCUAAGCAACCAAAUCUGUUUUUAUUUUACACAUAUUGUGAACUGUAUUGCUUACCAGGAUUCC
Molecule: long non-coding RNA, 3826 nt
Filed under: Pan troglodytes (chimpanzee)
Lineage: Eukaryota; Metazoa; Chordata; Mammalia; Primates; Hominidae
Description: long non-coding RNA NONPTRT010811
Source: RNAcentral